This 466-nucleotide ribosomal RNA is filed under the name uncultured Pseudomonadota bacterium. RNAcentral describes it as "bacterial SSU rRNA". It matches the Rfam family "Bacterial small subunit ribosomal RNA", at positions 355 to 838 of the family's 1533-position model. The record is from RNAcentral. Lineage: Bacteria; Pseudomonadati; Pseudomonadota.
UGGGGAAUAUUGGACAAUGGGCGAAAGCCUGAUCCAGCAAUGCCGCGUGAGUGAUGAAGGCCUUAGGGUUGUAAAGCUCUUUUACCCGGGAUGAUAAUGACAGUACCGGGAGAAUAAGCUCCGGCUAACUCCGUGCCAGCAGCCGCGGUAAUACGGAGGGAGCUAGCGUUAUUCGGAAUUACUGGGCGUAAAGCGCACGUAGGCGGCUUUGUAAGUUAGAGGUGAAAGCCUGGAGCUCAACUCCAGAAUUGCCUUUAAGACUGCAUCGCUUGAAUCCAGGAGAGGUGAGUGGAAUUCCGAGUGUAGAGGUGAAAUUCGUAGAUAUUCGGAAGAACACCAGUGGCGAAGGCGGCUCACUGGACUGGUAUUGACGCUGAGGUGCGAAAGCGUGGGAGCGAAACAGGAUUAGAUACCCUGGUAGUCCACGCCGUAACGAUGAUAACUAGCUGUCGGGGCUCGUUAGAGC